Long non-coding RNA from Aquila chrysaetos chrysaetos, 4989 nucleotides. RefSeq lists it as uncharacterized. Lineage: Eukaryota; Metazoa; Chordata; Aves; Accipitriformes; Accipitridae. The record is from RefSeq and is a predicted model, not a curated record. The transcript has 3 exons.
CAGGCCUGGGGAGGAUGUGGCGGGGCAGAGGGGUAGUGGGGAGGGAGCGUGGGUGGCAGGCGGGUGGGAGACCGCUCCGUUCCUUUGAGGUGGCAUUUUAGACAGCCCCGUUAUUGUGGCUCCUCUCCAGGGUUUGCUUUUCCCAUCCCCUCUGAGGGAGCAAGGGUUAGCACAGAGGGUGGAAGCUGGAAGCCUUUGGCGUGCCUGCGUGACCUGGCCGCCGGCACCUGCCUCCUUCACCCUCCCCGGCCCGGCACCCUCCACGCACGGGGCUGCCUCCUCUCUCGGGCAGAAAGGCGGCGUGAGGUGGGUGCCAUUGCGACCUUGCUCUCUUUUUUUUUUGAUGCACGGUGUCAUGAUCCGGCUAGGAUUUUUGUGGGGAGGAGGAAAGGAUGCUCCGGCCCUUCACAAAAUCCCUUGGCACGAGCUGCUGCUGGAGGGAAGCUGCCCUCCAACUGGGAGAGAUUUUUCUACACGGGAGGUUAUUUGAGAUAAUGUGAGCGAGCGGGGGUGGUCAGAGCAGUCUUCCCAUUUAGCUGCUGCCUAACCCUAAUUUCGAGGUUGUCCGAGGAGGGCUGAAGAAACGGGGAACUGGUGCAUAAACUGAGGCCAAAGCACACUGGAACUGAAAAGGCUGUGCCGUAAUGAGGAAAGACGUCAUCUACAUGGCAAAGAAACUGUAGUCUGGACUUCUCUGUACCUUCCUUCUGAAAACUGUUCAUCUCUAUGGGUUAUACAGCUGAGUUAAGUUUAAGUAAACAAAGACUUUGCCCAAAGGUAUUCUCCGUCCCAGCAAAUGAACUGAAAAUAUAAAACAUAUGGGGCAAUCUGAGUUUUAACAAUGGUUUAAAAAAAAAAGAAAAGCUUUUACUGUGUAUUUUAAAGAGUUUCAAGGACAGCAAAAAUCACUGGCGGGAUUUAGCUGUAUCCAGAGAACUGAUGCAAUCCAUACCAGUAGGGAAUUGCUUAACAUGUCUGGGCAGGGUUCCUGCUGGUGGCGUCUGCUGGACGUCUUUGCAGCGUAAUAGGCAAUAUGUGGGUGUGUUGGGGCCCCUGCUCCAGAUUCCUCUCUUUGAGCUUGUCAUUUCUGUUUCCCUUGUUUGCUGAUGGCCACCAGCUGGGUCCUGACUUUGGGGCUGGGCUGUCCCACCAAAUGAGCAUGCACAUUUGAGCCCAUGGUGCUUCAGAGCCCCAGAAAGUACAGGUAGAAAUGGUAGAGGCCUUUCUGAUAGCUUCAGUUGGUGUAUUUUGCUAUUAUUUGUAUUUCUUUGGGGCUGAGAGGCUACCAAAAGUGGAUUUAAGUCCCCUUGCACUGAGCUUCCCAGGCAAAAUAAUCAUGAGCAUUGAAAAUAAAAGUGCCUGUGUCAUACCCUCUACGGAGAGAAGCAGGAGGUGAAGACAGCAGAUGCCUUGAACACUGCCGCAAUGAUGGUCAUUGCGGUAAGCAAUGGUCCCAGGAAGCGUGUAAGGUUUUUUUAAAACCUUUUCAGCCCAAAUAAAUCACUGCAGCUUCCCUCUCACAGCUGACCAGAGACUUACUCAGUUUACACUCAGUUUAGGAUCCUCCCAAAGCGCUUACAGCCUGUUCUGAACUCCUCCGCAUGAAUAACCCCCGGCUCCUGCUAAGUGUCCCUACAGUCCGAAAAUAAUUCAUAUCUCUAUGCUUUCAAAGCUCACUGUUGCUGAGGGGAAGUCCCCGCUGUUUCCUCCUCAGCUUUCUCUUUCCUGCUCUCCCCCUUGCUGGUGAGGAUUAGGCUCGACCGCAGCUGACUUUGCUGUCUCACUGCCUGCAGCGGGGUGCCAAGCGUUAUACGGUGACGCAGCAGCUUUUCCCCCCAUUCCCUCCAUUUCCCCUGGCUGCCAUCGCUCUCUCAGAGUCCCAGGGCUGCAGUUUCUGCCCAGUGCAGGGAGGUGAUAAGGCUUUGAACUUUUGCUGGGGGUUGGCUUGCUGCGGUGGGUCUGAAGGGCGCAGCGAGGUGAAGGAGCAGGCGAGGGGCCAAGGGGCCAGCCGAAAGCUCCCAGGUGAACGAUGCCAGGCGCACCUUGUUUCCCUCCGAGUUUUGAGCCGGCAGUACGUCCUGCCAGGUCUGGCCCUGCGGCUGGGCUGGCUGCAGUCGUGUUGGGAAGCUUGAGCCUUUCUCUUCAUUUUCAUUUUUAUUUAUUUAACCAUUUUAAGCAGUUUUGUGGGAAUGGAGCUGUAAGAUUUUCUUUAAUUUUCAGAAGAGUGUGGACUUUCUUUUUCGGAGCUGAAUUCUUUGUUGUCAAAAUAUGUACAUAACCUUGAGAUCCCAAAAACCUGUUUUAGGAUCUGUGAAUGGGCUGCACGUGAUUCUCUUACACACUGUCACUUUAAAGCACUUCUCUUUCUUCCACUGGUUCUUAAUGAACCUCACCCAGAGUGGGGGGUGAACCAAUUCAGUGUUUACUAAUUUUCUGCAUUGGUAAAACAAUACAAAACCACCACCUUUUCUUUUUGUGUGUGGGAGGUAGGAAAUCAUUACGAAAAAGAUGAAAUGAUGUAUAUCUAUGUGUGCUUGUAUGCACACAUGCUUGUUUUGAUUCAGAAGUGGAAGUGAUGGCAACUAACGCUGACAAAAUGCAAGCAUAUUUUUUACUCCGGUCAGGCUUUUUCGUGAGCCUAAAGCACUGUCACAGGACUCUACUGGUUGUUGAUUUUCAAAAAUGCAGUGAAGCUAUGAUCCCAUUGAAAUUUCUAUGAAUUUUUAUGGAUACAAGUUAUUAAGACAGUGGAUAAAACCUGAAAGACCUAGCUUUUCUCUUGCCUAUUUGGAAUACGGUGGUUUAUUAUUAUUGUUGUCAUCCUUGUUGCCAGUCUGAGGUGCUGAUGCUGAAUUUCAAUAUUUUUGAAGACUCUCCUGGAAAACAAAAUAAAAAGAAUCCUGCAUUAGCGUGGACGACUCACAUUCCACUCUAAUUGGUACAUUAUAAUUUUCCCUCUUCUUACUUUCCUUCUGGUUUUCAAAAGUACUUUUUAGUUCCUCCAAAUCACUUCAUAAAUUUACAUUCUGGCUUAGCUGUUCUAUUUUUCUAUUUUAGAAAAGUCAAGUCAAGUCAAGUUGGCUUGGCAAAGCAAAUUAAUUUCCUUCAGAUGAGAGGGGUUUUGCUGAAGUCUUAGUCCUUCGAGAUACACAGUCCCCUAACUGCUGAGCUGCAUUUAUUGACACGGAUGCAAAGCUGUCUGGCUGGAGGAGUUGCUACUUGUAAAGGCAUAGGUUUCACACACGUGCCCACGCUCUGCCACAAUUGCUUUGGUCUUCCCUGGAUUAAGUUUUUAACUCGAGCUGCCCAUCUCAGCUGAACUUCAAAAAACUGCAGGAAAGCACAUCAUCUGUUACAGGGAGCAGGGGUGCAGAACCAAGUGAUACGAGAGCACCUGUGCAAUUCCAGCUGAUGCCAUUCCAGAGGCUGAAGAUAUCAGACUCAUUCUGUUUCAUUUUUUUUUUGUCUUAUAUUUAUACUGUAUCCCUCCCGGCAUCAGCAAAGAAGCUUGAGCUGGAGAUGGUCACACAGACGAGCUUGUCCUUUCUGUUUCACUGACUUCCAUCAUCUGUUCAAAAAAUUUUGUACGCUCUGAGCUGCUUAAAGACUUUUGACUUUACAGUUUUUUUCACUGAAAUCCUUGUACCUAUCUCUGAUUGGCUUGAGAAUUGUUAUGCAGACACAGAACCAGAUUGUGAAAGGUCUGUGAAUAAGUAUUUCAGCUGGUUAAUAUUCCCUGCCCGGUGCUGGACAGCAAAGUGUGUCUGUAUGUAUUUAAAUGCCAACCAUUCUAAGCACUGGUUCAAAGCUCAUAUUGCUAAUUGCAAAACCUCAUCAACUUUCUGUGUACCGGAACAGCCCCUCUACACAAAAAAAUAAAAAUCAAAGAGCAGACCAGGUUGAUGGUGUUCUCAGCCAUAUCUGUUUCUGUCAGUAUGCGUUGAGGGACCGAAGGAAAGAGGUGUGUGAAAUUGUUCCCAGGCCGUCCUUGGCUGUGUUUCCCUGCUGCUCCGCCCCACUCUCCCCUUUGGCUGUGCUCAGAAGAUGAACUCUUGUGCAGAAAUGGGGAAAAUCUCAGAGAGAGUGCAUGACCCUCAAAACAGUAGCUUGUCCUUUAUAGAAGAAAGAACUUCCAGCAAGUAGUGAUUUACGUAUCUUUAAGGGAAAGGAAAACUACUUGCAAAUGCAUUAUUUUAUCUGCAAUGGAAUUUCAAGUUACUAAUGCAUGGAUAGAGGCAUCAAGUGAAUCUUUUCACCUGGGCUUUUGGAAAAUGCUACCCAAGAAAAAAUUAGUUGUGUAAAAACUUCCGUCAUGCUUAACUCUGCAAGCAGAGUGACUGCGUAAUUAGCCACACUAGCUGGGGAGGAUGCCACAUUAGAUCAGGUGAGAGAAGCAGAGUUAAAAUAGCACAAAAAUAAGAACCGCGGGGCAGAACUAAUGCUAGGAACUGCCAUCUGCACACGCAAAGGAACAUCUGUUGCAUUUUAAAUUCAAGUCAUAGCGGGCUUCAGAACCUUUGCUGUUUUGGAAGAGACAAAAAUCUCUAAACACAUGCUGAGACAAGGAAGAAGGUGGAACAUUUCUGAAAUACUGAAAACCUGUGUGUGUCGUAUUCCAUCUCUUUUUGGUCAUGAACCUUUGUUCCUAGGUUGGGCGUUUGGCCCACCUCAAGUCCCUCAAUAGGCAGUGGAGAGAGAGGGACUCCUGCUUGGCAUCUCCAAAAGUGGUAAAGCAACCCUGCUUGUUCAUAAAAUCCCUGAGAGCAAUGCAGUGGGCCCUACUGAAAAUUUUAACACAGAAGAUGCUGAAAGAAGUGGGAUAUGGCACAUAUGCCAAAACUGGUCCUAUUUUUCUAUUUCAUAUUUUCAAAAAAGGUCAAAAAAGAUUCAGUUUUAGCCAAGACACUAAGAAAAAAAAUGAAAUGAAUGUAUCUGUUCUUACAGUGUGUUUCACAACACAGGAAACUGUCAAUAAAAGCAAUAAAUGGA